AACGUAGGAGACAAACGUUAUCCGGAGUUACUGGGCGUAAAGGGCGUGCAGGUGGUCUGUUAAGUCUGGCGUGAAAGCUCUCGGCUAAACCGGGAGAGGUCGUUGGAUACUGGCGGACUAGAGGACGGUAGAGGCGAGUGGAAUUCCGGGUGUAGUGGUGAAAUGCGUAGAGAUCCGGAGGAACACCAGUGGCGAAGGCGACUCGCUGGGCCGUACCUGACACUAAAACGCGACAGCAUGGGGAGCGAACGGG
Molecule: ribosomal RNA, 253 nt
Filed under: uncultured bacterium
Lineage: Bacteria
Description: partial 16S ribosomal RNA
Rfam family: Bacterial small subunit ribosomal RNA
Source: RNAcentral